GAUGAAGAACGUAGCGAAAUGCGAUACGUAAUGUGAAUUGCAGAAUUCAGUGUAUCAUCGAGUCUUUGAACGCACAUUGCGCCCCCUGGUAUUCCGGGGGGCAUGCCUGUCCGAGCGUCAUUGCUGCCCUCAAGCACGGCUUGUGUGUUGGGCCUCCGUCCUCCUCCCGGGGGACGGGCCCGAAAGGCAGCGGCGGCACCGCGUCCGGUCCUCGAGCGUAUGGGGCUUCGUCACCCGCUCUUGUAGGCCCGGCCGGCGCUUGCCGACACAUCAAUCUUUUUUCCAGGUUGACCUCGGAUCAGGUAGGGAUACCCACUGAACUUAAGCAUAUCAAUAAGCGGAGGA
This 345-nucleotide unclassified non-coding RNA is filed under the name soil metagenome. Its description in RNAcentral is "partial contains 5.8S ribosomal RNA, internal transcribed spacer 2, and large subunit ribosomal RNA". The stretch from base 1 to 120 matches the Rfam family "5.8S ribosomal RNA", at positions 35 to 154 of the family's 154-position model. The record is from RNAcentral.